GUGGGGAAUUUUGGACAAUGGGCGAAAGCCUGAUCCAGCCAUAUCGCGUGCAGGAUGAAGGCCUUCGGGUUGUAAACUGCUUUUGUACGGAACGAAAAGACUCUGGUUAAUACCUGGGGUCCAUGACGGUACCGUAAGAAUAAGCACCGGCUAACUACGUGCCAGCAGCCGCGGUAAUACGUAGGGUGCAAGCGUUAAUCGGAAUUACUGGGCGUAAAGCGUGCGCAGGCGGUUAUAUAAGACAGAUGUGAAAUCCCCGGGCUCAACCUGGGAACUGCAGUGGUGACUGUAUAGCUAGAGUACGGCAGAGGGGGAUGGAAUUCCGCGUGUAGCAGUGAAAUGCGUAGAUAUGCGGAGGAACACCGAUGGCGAAGGCAAUCCCCUGGGCCUGUACUGACGCUCAUGCACGAAAGCGUGGGGAGCAAACAGGAUUAGAUACCCGUGUAGUCC
RNAcentral lists this ribosomal RNA (450 nucleotides) under uncultured bacterium. RNAcentral's name for it is "bacterial SSU rRNA". It matches the Rfam family "Bacterial small subunit ribosomal RNA", at positions 354 to 796 of the family's 1533-position model. The record is from RNAcentral.